CUCUAGCUUGACGGUAGGAGGGCAGAGACAGUUCUGGAAGCAGCUACGGGGUUUCCCUCGGCUAUAAAGCAGGGAACUGCCGCUGCUGCUUCAGUCACGCUGAGGACGGAACAUCUGGACCCACCGGAACCGGCCAGAACCGCCUCCCGGGUCUCCGAACCAAAUGUACCCGUCCGUGAGGCAAACACUGAGGUUUCCAUAGAAACAGAAGUAAAAGAUGGAGUCAGCGCGUGGCUGGGUUUAGACUCUGCCUCGCGCUAAACUAAAGGAUCCAGAUUAAACCACAGCUGGGACCAGGAAACUAAGUUUGGUUUAAAAGUGAAUAAAGUCAGAUUUAAGCUUUGAUGAACUAUCAGGUUUAAUUAGAAAAGAUCUAAGGGAGUUAUCGGCUCAUUCGUUUAGACCAGUGUUUUUCAACCCUGGUCCUGAAGGCACAAUGAUCUGCAUGUUCUAGAUGUUUCCCAGCUUUCACACACCUGUUAGCAAUUGAUAGCAGAUUAUCAGGCUUUGCUGAAGCUCAGAAACAUCCAGAACAUGCAGAGCAGGAAGCCUUCAGGACCAGGAGGGAAAAACACAGGUUUAGACCUCUGAUCUUCAACAAGAAGUGGCUGAGGCCGGUUUGAACCGGUUUAAACCUGCUCUGACUGUAAGGGUCUAGAAGGUUCUGGAGAGCAGGGGCGGGGCUAGUCAGCUCAGGGGUUCCCCCUAGUGGAGGUGGAGGGGAUGGUUGGAAUGUGAAACAUUUUAUUUCAGGCUGUGUCUUAUGUAAAUGAACCGGAUUCUGUUUAAAAUCAUAAACUGUUGGACGUGUAACUCAACAUUCCAGCUGUAAUAUUUCUGCAGCUUCAGUUGUACAUUUUAUCUGAAUAAAAGUUGUUGGAGGAAAAAAA
Molecule: long non-coding RNA, 890 nt
Organism: Cyprinodon tularosa
Lineage: Eukaryota; Metazoa; Chordata; Actinopteri; Cyprinodontiformes; Cyprinodontidae
Exons: 2
Source: RefSeq, a predicted model, not a curated record